GAGGAAAGAGGGGGGCGUGCCUAAUACAUGCAAGUCGAGCGAACAGAUGAGGAGCUUGCUCCUCUGACGUUAGCGGCGGACGGGUGAGUAACACGUGGAUAACCUACCUAUAAGACUGGGAUAACUUCGGGAAACCGGAGCUAAUCCCGGAUAAUAUAUUGAACCGCAUGGUUCAAUAGUGAAAGACGGUUUUGCUGUCACUUAUAGAUGGAUCCGCGCCGCAUUAGCUAGUUGGUAAGGUAACGGCUUACCAAGGCAACGAUGCGUAGCCGACCUGAGAGGGUGAUCGGCCACACUGGAGCUGAGACACGGUCCAGACGCCUACGGGAGGCAGCAGUAGGGAAUCUUCCGCAAUGGGCGAAAGCCUGACGGAGCAACGCCGCGUGAGUGAUGAAGGUCUUCGGAUCGUAAAACUCUGUUAUUAGGGAAAAACAAAUGUGUAAGUAACUAUGCACGUCUUGACGGUACCUAAUCAGAAAGCCACGGCUAACUACGUG
Molecule: ribosomal RNA, 497 nt
Filed under: uncultured bacterium
Lineage: Bacteria
Description: partial 16S ribosomal RNA
Rfam family: Bacterial small subunit ribosomal RNA
Source: RNAcentral